Molecule: ribosomal RNA, 332 nt
Filed under: uncultured Actinomycetes bacterium
Lineage: Bacteria; Bacillati; Actinomycetota; Actinomycetes
Description: bacterial SSU rRNA
Rfam family: Bacterial small subunit ribosomal RNA
Source: RNAcentral
GACGAACGCUGGCGGCGUGCUUAACACAUGCAAGUCGAGCGAGAAAGCGCCUUCGGGCGUGAGUACAGCGGCGAACGGGUGAGUAACACGUGGGCAACCUGCCCCAGAGACUGGGAUAACGUCCCGAAAGGGACGCUAAUACCGGGUGAUGCGCGACCUGCCAAGUAGGUCGCGCCAAAUGGUAGCUUCGGCUUCUGCUCUGGGAUGGGCCCGCGCCGGAUUAGCUUGUUGGUGGGGUAACGGCUCACCAAGGCGACGAUCCGUAGCUGGUCUGAGAGGAUGACCAGCCACACGUGGGACUGAGACACGGCCCAGACUCCUACGGGUGGCUG